GGAAUCUUCCACAAUGGACGAAAGUCUGAUGGAGCAACGCCGCGUGAGUGAAGAAGGGUUUCGGCUCGUAAAACUCUGUUGUUAAAGAAGAACGUGGGUAAGAGUAACUGUUUACCCAGUGACGGUAUUUAACCAGAAAGCCACGGCUAACUACGUGCUAG
Molecule: ribosomal RNA, 161 nt
Filed under: uncultured bacterium
Lineage: Bacteria
Description: partial 16S rRNA
Rfam family: Bacterial small subunit ribosomal RNA
Source: RNAcentral